Molecule: long non-coding RNA, 617 nt
Filed under: Chinchilla lanigera (long-tailed chinchilla)
Lineage: Eukaryota; Metazoa; Chordata; Mammalia; Rodentia; Chinchillidae
Description: lncRNA (ENSCLAG00000022294.1)
Source: RNAcentral
AUGUGUCUGUCUCUCUGUGGCCACUUAACAGCUACCAUAAGGCUGGUGCUUAGGACUUCCUCGAUACUUGCUGAGCUGACCUUGAUCUGCAUGAUGUUACACGGCAAAAAGGGAAACAGUUCUUCUCUUCAGCCAGUUGCUGCAGCAGGGGUUCACCCCACAGGUCCUAUUUGCCUGAUUCCUGGGCAUACAUAUGCCAAACACUGUGGCAGGAACUGGACAUUCAGCUGAUAUUGACACCCAUGGCUCCUCUCCAGGAACUCGUGGUCUGAGGUAGAGGGGAAUCACAGAGUCUCAGAAAGAGUCAAAUGACAGCCCAUGCCAAAGGAGCUAUGCAGACUCCAGCAGGUCCAGCUAUGCUGGGACUAUCUCAUCCAGGCUACUCCAGAACCACUGGCUAAGCAGUUGGUCCUAUGCAGGGCUCAGAUCUGCUCUAGGGCUUUGGAAAUGUUGCUUCCCCGCCCUGCUGCUCAGGUUCCUCAUCUGUAUAGUAAGUGAACCACCCCACGUACUUGUGAGGCUUAAAGGAGUCACACAUGUGAGAUGUUUAGAGCAGUACUUGACAGAGCCUGUGUACACUUUUAUUAUCUGACAUCGAUGGGCUCAGGAAAUUAGAG